UACAGAGGUCGCAAGCGUUUUUCGGAUUUACUGGGCGUACAGGGUGCGUAGGCGGUUGGGUAAGCCCUCUGUGAAAUCUCCAGGCCUAACCCGGAAAGUGCAGUGGAGACUACUCAGCUGGAGGAUUGGAGAGGAGCGCGGAAUUCCCGGUGUAGCGGUGAAAUGCGUAGAGAUCGGGAGGAAGGCCAGUGGCGAAGGCAAGGCUCUGGACCAUUCCUGACGCUGAGGCUCGAAAGCCUGGGGAGCAAACAGG
RNAcentral lists this ribosomal RNA (253 nucleotides) under uncultured bacterium. RNAcentral's name for it is "partial 16S ribosomal RNA". It matches the Rfam family "Bacterial small subunit ribosomal RNA", at positions 524 to 776 of the family's 1533-position model. The record is from RNAcentral.